This 145-nucleotide unclassified non-coding RNA is filed under the name uncultured Ascomycota. Its description in RNAcentral is "sequence contains ITS2". The record is from RNAcentral. Lineage: Eukaryota; Fungi; Ascomycota. RNAcentral also lists the same sequence under 1 other name.
UCAACCCUCAGGCCCGGCCUGGUGUUGGAGGACUGCGCCUGCAGCCUCCCAAAGCGAGCGGCGGCGGCGCCCCUUACCGAACGCAGUAGUUUACUCUCGUUCCGGGACUGGGUCGUUGUCUUGCCGGAAAACCCCCAACUUUUGU